CCUACGGGUGGCAGCAGUGAGGAAUAUUGGUCAAUGGACGAGAGUCUGAACCAGCCAAGUAGCGUGAAGGAUGACUGCCCUAUGGGUUGUAAACUUCUUUUAUAUGGGAAUAAAAUGUUCCACGUGUGGGAUUUUGUAUGUACCAUAUGAAUAAGGAUCGGCUAACUCCGUGCCAGCAGCCGCGGUAAUACGGAGGAUCCGAGCGUUAUCCGGAUUUAUUGGGUUUAAGGGGAGCGUAGGUGGAUUGUUAAGUCAGUUGUGAAAGUUUGCGGCUCAACCGUAAAAUUGCAGUUGAAACUGGCAGUCUUGAGGACAGUAGAGGUGGGCGGAAUUCGUGGUGUAGCGGUGAAAUGCUUAGAUAUCACGAAGAACUCCGAUUGCGAAGGCAGUUCACUGGACUGCAACUGACACUGAGGCUCGAAAGUGUGGGUAUCAAACAGGAUUAGAUACCCUUGUAGUC
Molecule: ribosomal RNA, 460 nt
Filed under: uncultured bacterium
Lineage: Bacteria
Description: partial 16S ribosomal RNA
Rfam family: Bacterial small subunit ribosomal RNA
Source: RNAcentral